This 432-nucleotide ribosomal RNA is filed under the name uncultured bacterium. Its description in RNAcentral is "bacterial SSU rRNA". It matches the Rfam family "Bacterial small subunit ribosomal RNA", at positions 29 to 507 of the family's 1533-position model. The record is from RNAcentral.
AACGAACGCUGGCGGCAUGCCUAACACAUGCAAGUCGAACGAAGUCUUCGGACUUAGUGGCGCACGGGUGCGGAACGCGUGGGAAUCUGCCCUUGGGUACGGAAUAACUCAGAGAAAUUUGUGCUAAUACCGUAUAAUGUCGUAAGACCAAAGAUUUAUCGCCCAAGGAUGAGCCCGCGUAAGAUUAGCUAGUUGGUAGGGUAAAGCCUACCAAGGCGACGAUCUUUAGCUGGUCUGAGAGGAUGAUCAGCCACACUGGGACUGAGACACGGCCCAGACUCCUACGGGAGGCAGCAGUGGGGAAUAUUGGACAAUGGGCGAAAGCCUGAUCCAGCAAUGCCGCGUGAGUGAUGAAGGCCCUAGGGUUGUAAAGCUCUUUUACCCGGGAUGAUAAUGACAGUACCGGGAGAAUAAGCUCCGGCUAACUCCGUG